AAUANCCCUUUACUACAGCUCUUAACCAUAAUAACACUGCUCUACCAGAAAAGAACUUUACACACCGAAAUGCUUCUUCGUUCACGCGGCGUCGCACUAUCAGGGUUUCCCCCAUUGUAGACUAUUCUCG
Molecule: ribosomal RNA, 130 nt
Filed under: uncultured bacterium
Lineage: Bacteria
Description: partial 16S ribosomal RNA
Source: RNAcentral